GGUCAGCGACUUAUAUUCUGUAGCAAGGUUAACCGUAUAGGGGAGCCGAAGGGAAACCGAGUCUUAACCGGGCGUUAAGUUGCAGGGUAUAGACCCGAAACCCGGUGAUCUAGCCAUGGGCAGGUUGAAGGUUGGGUAACACUAACUGGAGGACCGAACCGACUAAUGUUGAAAAAUUAGCGGAUGACCUGUGGCUGGGGGUGAAAGGCCAAUCAAACCGGGAGAUAGCUGGUUCUCCCCGAAAGCUAUUUAGGUAGCGCCUCGUGAAUUCAUCUCCGGGGGUAGAGCACUGUUUCGGCUAGGGGGCCAUCCCGGCUUACCAACCCGAUGCAAACUGCGAAUACCGGAGAAUGUUAUCACGGGAGACACACGGCGGGUGCUAACGUCCGUCGUGAAGAGGGAAACAACCCAGACCGCCAGCUAAGGUCCCAAAGUCAUGGUUAAGUGGGAAACGAUGUGGGAAGGCCCAGACAGCCAGGAUGUUGGCUUAGAAGCAGCCAUCAUUUAAAGAAAGCGUAAUAGCUCACUGGUCGAGUCGGCCUGCGCGGAAGAUGUAACGGGGCUAAACCAUGCACCGAAGCUGCGGCAGCGACGCUGAUGCGUUGUUGGGUAGGGGAGCGUUCUGUAAGCCUGCGAAGGUGGCCUGUGAGGGUUGCUGGAGGUAUCAGAAGUGCGAAUGCUGACAUAAGUAACGAUAAAGCGGGUGAAAAGCCCGCUCGCCGGAAGACCAAGGGUUCCUGUCCAACGUUAAUCGGGGCAGGGUGAGUCGACCCCUAAGGCGAGGCCGAAAGGCGUAGUCGAUGGGAAACGGGUUAAUAUUCCCGUACUUGGUGUUACUGCGAAGGGGGGACGGAGAAGGCUAUGUUGGCCGGGCGACGGUUGUCCCGGUUUAAGCGUGUAGGUGUGUGUUCCAGGUAAAUCCGGUUCACUUUAACACUGAGGCGUGACGACGAGGCACUACGGUGCUGAAGCAACAAAUGCCCUGCUUCCAGGAAAAGCCUCUAAGCAUCAGGUAACAUCAAAUCGUACCCCAAACCGACACAGGUGGUCAGGUAGAGAAUACCAAGGCGCUUGAGAGAACUCGGGUGAAGGAACUAGGCAAAAUGGUGCCGUAACUUCGGGAGAAGGCACGCUGACACGUAGGUGAAGUGAUUUACUCAUGGAGCUGAAGUCAGUCGAAGAUACCAGCUGGCUGCAACUGUUUAUUAAAAACACAGCACUGUGCAAACACGAAAGUGGACGUAUACGGUGUGACGCCUGCCCGGUGCCGGAAGGUUAAUUGAUGGGGUCAGCGCAAGCGAAGCUCCUGAUCGAAGCCCCGGUAAACGGCGGCCGUAACUAUAACGGUCCUAAGGUAGCGAAAUUCCUUGUCGGGUAAGUUCCGACCUGCACGAAUGGCGUAAUGAUGGCCAGGCUGUCUCCACCCGAGACUCAGUGAAAUUGAACUCGCUGUGAAGAUGCAGUGUACCCGCGGCAAGACGGAAAGACCCCGUGAACCUUUACUAUAGCUUGACACUGAACAUUGAGCCUUGAUGUGUAG
RNAcentral lists this ribosomal RNA (1540 nucleotides) under Salmonella enterica. RNAcentral's name for it is "partial 23S ribosomal RNA". It matches the Rfam family "Bacterial large subunit ribosomal RNA", at positions 618 to 2141 of the family's 2925-position model. Lineage: Bacteria; Pseudomonadati; Pseudomonadota; Gammaproteobacteria; Enterobacterales; Enterobacteriaceae. The record is from RNAcentral.